UACGGGGGGGCAAGCGUUGUUCGGAAUUACUGGGCGUAAAGGGCUCGUAGGCGGCCAACGUAAGUCGGACGUGAAAUCCCCAGGCUCAACCUGGGAACCUGCGUCCGAUACUGAUGGCUGAUCGGAGUGAGGAUGGCAGAUCUACGUGUAGCGGUGAAAUGCGUAGAUAUCUGGAGGAAUACCGGUGGCGAAGGCGGCAUCCUGGACCGGCAUUGACGCUGAGGAGCGAAAGCCAGGGGAGCAACGGGGAUUAAGAUGACCCGGGUAGCCAGGUACCAAGUC
Molecule: ribosomal RNA, 282 nt
Filed under: uncultured bacterium
Lineage: Bacteria
Description: partial 16S ribosomal RNA
Rfam family: Bacterial small subunit ribosomal RNA
Source: RNAcentral